Molecule: small nucleolar RNA, 107 nt
Organism: Gastrolobium bilobum
Lineage: Eukaryota; Viridiplantae; Streptophyta; Magnoliopsida; Fabales; Fabaceae
Source: RefSeq, a predicted model, not a curated record
AAGUCAUAUUGGGGGCAUUUUCUGAUCAGUUCCGGAAAUCUUGUCCAAGCAGCACACAGAUUCUCUCCAGAUUGUUGGGUGAAGUUGGUAAUCUCAUUUACCAACUU